RNAcentral lists this unclassified non-coding RNA (2952 nucleotides) under Owenia fusiformis. RNAcentral describes it as "misc RNA OFUS_LOCUS12533". Lineage: Eukaryota; Metazoa; Annelida; Polychaeta; Sabellida; Oweniidae. The record is from RNAcentral.
UAAUGACUCAACGGAAAUGUAUCUCGUCACGUAUAUCGUUCUUGCAUAUUUCGGCCGAAAAAAACAAUAAUUUAACAAUCUUGAGCUUUUUUUUACCAAAUCAUAAACCAACAGAAAGUUAUCGAACAGAUUAUUCACAUUAAAUGGGCCCGUAUGCUGUAUAAACAAAGUGUCACACAAAUGUAUCGUUGUAAAAUAUAAAUAUUCAUAGUAGGGGCACCAAUUCUGACGUCAUUAGCUGGUGCAUGGCGGUCGUUUUUGUGCAUGUUGGACAAAAGUUCUGAUAAAACAUGGAAGGAGAAAGUAGUAGCCAUGAGGAGAUAGGUGAACUUGAAGACCAAGGCACCAAUGAGACAUAUCAGCAUGACCCAGAGGAGGACCUAUCAGCUACUGGCCUUGAUAGUGCAGAGGGUACAUCUGGGGGAGACAUGAUGGGAAUACAUGGCCUCCUUCUACAGGCUCAACAGAAUGCCUCUGUUGACCAAGAGAAUGAUGCCAAUGUUAUGGGAGAGCACCCUGCAGGAGUAGACUCCACCCAGGACCAAUUGCAGCUGGAGAGCAUGGCUAAUCAAUCUGUUCAUACAGUCACUUUGGAAGAUGGCAGCACUGCCUACAUUCAACACAACAAAGGAGAUGAGAAGGUUGCUGAAGGACAGACCAUACAGUUGGCAGAUGGCUCAACUGCAGUGGUACAAAAGGUUGCAGAAACAGCAGAGGUAGACCCUGAACCUGAAGCUGAGCCAGAUGGUACCAAGUUCAUUGAUGGUCAAGCUGUGCAGCUAGAGGAUGGCACCACGGUUUAUAUACACAGUACACCUAAAGCUGGGCUCCAGGCUGUUCAACUGGAAGAUGGAACAACAGCCUACAUUUCUCAGACUCCCCCUGAUCAACUGCUGCCAGAGCCUACCCAGGUAAACAACACUGUAGAUCAGAACACUGUUACCUUGGAGAUUACACCUGAUGGACAAUUUAAAACACAAGACACAAAUGGUACUGUUAAGAAGUUUGUCUCUAAGGAGGAAGCAGACCUGGCCUUGGCAAGGCAACAGUACAGUGAGCGAGCCAUUGUCAUGACAGAGAAGGUGUUCAAGUGUGACUUUCCUCAGUGUGGCAAAAUGUACACUACUUCACAUCAUCUCAAGGUUCAUGAGAGAAACCAUACUGGACAGAAGCCCUUCAAGUGCCAGUGUGGGAAGACAUUUGCAACAGGCUAUGGUCUAAAGAGUCACACUAGGAUACAUACUGGAGAAAAGCCCUACAAGUGCCCAGAUGAACACUGCAAUAAAUGCUUCAAAACAUCGGGUGAUAUGCAAAAGCAUGUACGCACCCAUACUGGCGAACGGCCAUUCAAAUGUCCAUUUGAGGGUUGCCAUAGAGCUUUCACUACGUCCAACAUUCGCAAAGUCCAUAUAAGGACACAUACUGGAGAGCGUCCAUAUAUAUGUGAGGAGGAAGGCUGUGGUCGGGCAUUUGCAAGUGCCACUAACUAUAAAAAUCAUGUCCGAAUACAUACAGGAGAAAAGCCUUAUGUAUGCACUGUGCAGGGAUGUGGCAAGAGAUUUACAGAAUAUUCCAGCCUCUAUAAACACCAUGUUGUACACACCCACACGAAACCUUACAUUUGCAACCAUUGUGGUAAAAACUACCGCCAGACAUCAACAUUAGCUAUGCAUAAGCGCACUGCACAUAAUGAUGACACGGGUGUUGAAGAAGCAACAGGAGUUCAGAUAUAUCCACCCACUAAUCACCAGAUUACAAUAGGAGGCCUAAAUGAUGGCAGCCAGGGCCCAGCAGCCAAAAAACAGAAGCUGGAUUUCCAGGGGUCUUCAGAGGGAGGCACAGGGCCAGGGGAGGAGGGAGAUGGUAACCUUGUCAUCAACACCUCUGAGUCAGGGGCUCAACAAAUCCAAAUGGUAGGUAACAAUCCUGUGCUCUCAGGAGCUGGUGGGUCUCAGACCAUGGUGAUCCAGGCCAACAGCACACAGCUUCAGCCCCUCAUGCAGCAAAUGGUCAACCUGGGUGGAGACCAGCAGAUAUUUGUUGUCACAGAUCCUGCUCAAAUACAAGCCUUACAGAGUAUGUCUGUUCCUGUGUCAGUGUCCACCCAAAUUGCCAGUGAGAGUAGUGCCACUGACAGCCACAACAAACACCCUGCUGUCAUAGCAACAGCUGCAGAAUCUAUGUCAACUGGAACAAUCUCUGUGGCGGACAAUGAACAAACUAUAGUAUAUACAGACUAGCAAUAAUCUUUACAGUGAAUAGUAAAGCUGGAUACAUUGUACAUAGAGAGUAUAGAAUGCACAUAUUUCUAGGCAAUAUGGCUGUGAUUUUGAAAAUUAAAAAAUGGUUUGUGAAAAAGACCAUGUAGUGUAUCGCAAACUUAUUGCAUUGCUAUACAAUUCCCCUUUCAUUAGUUACUGGCAUAGUGCAGGAGAAACUUUUCAUAUGGUUAAAAUGAGAAAAACAAGAUCUUCUUUUUCUAAAUGAGGAGAACAUUUUUGAAAAACUGAGGAGAUUGGAUACUAAUCCAUUAUCUAUUGGUAUAAUUCAAAUGUAAUUUUUUUUAUCUUUGGUGCUUAUGUUGGAGAUUACAUAUUUUUUAUUGUAAAUCAGGAAUGUGUCAUCUAACAAUACUUCCAGUCAAAAAUAAAACUGUCAAAAAUUGUUUGUGAUACACUACGUGGUGGACUUAGGAGAGGUAUCCAAAGUUCAAUGUCCGAUAGGAAACUAAAUAAAUCUAGCUUUGAGUUUGAUGAAGAAAGUAUCAGGUCAAAUCUUUAUUUUUAAACCAUUCCAAGGUAUUCCGAGUCAAAAUUUCAAAAGUUUGAAAUUUGUCCAGAUAGCCCCCUAACUUGAUUUAUUUAGUUUCCUAUUAGACAUUGAACUUUUGAUGCCUCCCCUUAGCUCUAUGAAUAAGGCAAGAAAUUUUUGCAAGAUUAUAUUCCAUCUUCA